This 87-nucleotide transfer RNA is filed under the name Chloroflexota bacterium. Its description in RNAcentral is "tRNA-Ser". It matches the Rfam family "tRNA". Rfam says of the family: Transfer RNA (tRNA) molecules are approximately 80 nucleotides in length. Their secondary structure includes four short double-helical elements and three loops (D, anti-codon, and T loops). The record is from RNAcentral. Lineage: Bacteria; Bacillati; Chloroflexota. RNAcentral also lists the same sequence under 5 other names.
GGAGGGGUGGCAGAGCGGUCGAAUGCGGCGGUCUUGAAAACCGCUGAGGGUGCAAGCUCUCCGUGGGUUCGAAUCCCACCCCCUCCG